UCCUCGGGACCCUGCUGCGG
Molecule: microRNA, 20 nt
Filed under: Schistosoma japonicum
Lineage: Eukaryota; Metazoa; Platyhelminthes; Trematoda; Strigeidida; Schistosomatidae
Description: miRNA-3080
Source: RNAcentral